Molecule: ribosomal RNA, 480 nt
Filed under: uncultured bacterium
Lineage: Bacteria
Description: partial 16S ribosomal RNA
Rfam family: Bacterial small subunit ribosomal RNA
Source: RNAcentral
GAUGAACGCUGGCGGCGUGCCUAACACAUGCAAGUCGAACGGAGAUUACGGACGGAAGUUUUCGGAUGGAAGACUGUAAUUCUUAGUGGCGGACGGGUGAGUAACGCGUGGGCAACCUGCCCUAUACAGGGGGAUAGCAGCUGGAAACGGCUGGUAAGACCGCAUAAGUCGGCGAGACCGCAUGGUUUUGCCGGGAAAUGAGCAAUCAGGUAUAGGAUGGGCCCGCGUCCGAUUAGCCAGUUGGCAGGGUAAAGCCUACCAAAGCAACGAUCGGUAGCCGGACUGAGAGGUCGGACGGCCACAUUGGGACUGAGACACGGCCCAAACUCCUACGGGAGGCAGCAGUGGGGGAUAUUGCACAAUGGAGGAAACUCUGAUGCAGCGACGCCGCGUGAGUGAAGAAGUAUUUCGGUAUGUAAAGCUCUAUCAGCAGGGAAGAUGAUGACGGUACCUGACUAAGAAGCCCCGGCUAACUACGUG